This 73-nucleotide transfer RNA is filed under the name Ixodes scapularis (black-legged tick). RNAcentral's name for it is "tRNA-Thr for anticodon GGU". It matches the Rfam family "tRNA". From Rfam's summary of the family: Transfer RNA (tRNA) molecules are approximately 80 nucleotides in length. Their secondary structure includes four short double-helical elements and three loops (D, anti-codon, and T loops). The record is from RNAcentral. Lineage: Eukaryota; Metazoa; Arthropoda; Arachnida; Ixodida; Ixodidae.
CCCUGGUUAGUUCAUUUGGUAGAGCGCUUCACCGGUAAUGGAGAGGUCCCGGUUUCAAUGCCCGGACCAGGCG